This 492-nucleotide ribosomal RNA is filed under the name uncultured bacterium. Its description in RNAcentral is "partial 16S ribosomal RNA". It matches the Rfam family "Bacterial small subunit ribosomal RNA", at positions 29 to 507 of the family's 1533-position model. The record is from RNAcentral.
AGUGAACGCUGGCGGUAGGCCUAACACAUGCAAGUCGAACGGCAGCACAGUAAGAGCUUGCUCUUACGGGUGGCGAGUGGCGGACGGGUGAGGAAUACAUCGGAAUCUACUUUUUCGUGGGGGAUAACGUAGGGAAGCUUACGCUAAUACCGCAUACGACCUACGGGUGAAAGCAGGGGAUCUUCGGACCUUGCGCGAUUGAAUGAGCCGAUGUCGGAUUAGCUAGUUGGCGGGGUAAAGGCCCACCAAGGCGACGAUCCGUAGCUGGUCUGAGAGGAUGAUCAGCCACACUGGAACUGAGACACGGUCCAGACUCCUACGGGAGGCAGCAGUGGGGAAUAUUGGACAAUGGGCGCAAACCUGAUCCAGCCAUACCGCGUGGGUGAAGAAGGCCUUCGGGUUGUAAAGCCCUUUUGUUGGGAAAGAAAAGCAGCAGGUUAAUACCCCGCUGUUCUGACGGUACCCAAAGAAUAAGCACCGGCUAACUUCGUG